CCUGAGGCACGAAAGUCUGACGGAGCACGCCGCGUGAGUGAUGAAGGCUUUCGGGUCGUAAAACUCUGUUGUUAGGGAAGAACAAGUGCUAGUUGAAUAAGCUGGCACCUUGACGGUACCUAACCAGAAAGCCACGGCUAACUACGUGCCAGCAGCCGCGGUAAUACGUAGGUGGCAAGCGUUAUCCGGAAUUAUUGGGCGUAAAGCGCGCGCAGGUGGUUUCUUAAGUCUGAUGUGAAAGCCCACGGCUCAACCGUGGAGGGUCAUUGGAAACUGGGAGACUUGAGUGCAGAAGAGGAAAGUGGAAUUCCAUGUGUAGCGGUGAAAUGCGUAGAGAUAUGGAGGAACACCAGUGGCGAAGGCGACUUUCUGGUCUGUAACUGACACUGAGGCGCGAAAGCGUGGGGAGCAAACAGGAUUAGAUACCCUGGUAGUCCACGCCGUAAACGAUGAGUGCUAAGUGUUAGAGGGUUUCCGCCCUUUAGUGCUGAAGUUAACGCAUUAAGCACUCC
This 512-nucleotide ribosomal RNA is filed under the name Bacillus cereus. RNAcentral's name for it is "bacterial SSU rRNA". It matches the Rfam family "Bacterial small subunit ribosomal RNA", at positions 365 to 870 of the family's 1533-position model. The record is from RNAcentral. Lineage: Bacteria; Bacillati; Bacillota; Bacilli; Caryophanales; Bacillaceae.